Molecule: long non-coding RNA, 2053 nt
Organism: Pogona vitticeps (central bearded dragon)
Lineage: Eukaryota; Metazoa; Chordata; Lepidosauria; Squamata; Agamidae
Source: Ensembl
AUGGGCCUUGUCCUCUCUUUUUCUUGAAGAAGACAGCAUGGUGGGAAGGUGGAUCUACUCAGAAAUGGCUAGUUACCAGUGGGUUUUUACUCUCCCAGAAAUGCAAGCCACUUCCUCCACAAUCCGGCACAAGGCGCUUUGGCUUUAUCUCUGGGCUGAAUCCCCGGAAGGGAGGGCUUCUCACUGCAUGCCCGUCUCUGCCUUUGAGCCAGGCCUAUAAAAGCAGCUUCUGGCUCAGUGAAGGCGGCUGUGCCCACAUAUGGGCAAAGGUUCCUGCCACUCCCACGGCAAGAGUUUCGGACCGGGGAAGAGGACAGAAGCGCUGAGUCCACAGCCUCCUGUCUUGCCCAGAGCUGUCUACUAUCCGCAGUCUGGGACGUAGGAGGAGGAAAAGAAUCCAGUCCAGGAUUUGGUGCAGAUCCGCUCACCUGUAUCUGGAGUUCACCUUUCACAAAAGGUGGCAUUGGCAUUCCGAAAACCUGGGAUGGAUUCUCGGCUCCCGGGACUUCGCAGAGCGGUUUCUUCUAAGCGCAGUUCUGAAAGUGGUCGCUAGAUGUCGCCCUGACCGCAGUCAAGCGAUCCUGGGGAAAAGUGGCGGAUUCCUGCGCGGGCGCGCAAAGAUGCCUUUUUGGGGGGGACUCAUCACCGGAAACGCGCCGCAAAAGUGUGUUGUGUUUUGCAACCAAGAGGUUUAAAACAAACAAACAAAGGACCCGGAGCAUCGUUUCUUGCAGCCAGCUCUCUUGAUCCAAAGCUGCGACUUAUUUGCACCAAGGAUCUCACGUUUCCUAUGGCAAGCUUGCGCGCGUUUACGCAGGAGUAAAUGUUUCCUAUGCUUUCGGUGCGACUUCAAUCGCAAAUGUACCCCAUCCACCUCCAGAAUUAAACGGCAUAUUAAUGCAAAAAACAUAGAAACAAAAAACAGGCACUAUUUGAUGAUGAUGAUGAUGAUGAUGAUGAUGAUGAUGAUGAUGAUGAUGAUGAUGAUGAUGCACAAUGGCAGCAGCACCUUUCCCAGUUCUCUGCAGUAAAAAUAAGAAAGCUUCGUGGUAGGGCCAGCCCCAAAUAUACACAUGCCGAGAUUUUUUAAGUCCUUACAGACGUAGAUAUGUUCGUAAUAUAAAAAAGCUGGCUGGAUUUGCUAAAACUGCUGAGAUUCGUAAAUUUUGAGGGGAAACAAGGAGCUCCCGAGUUCUAGAUGUUCCCACCCCUCAAGAAUGAGAGGACAGGGCCUUCGAGGUGUUCCGGUUCCCAUCAUCCCCAAGCAGGGAUGAGCCUAGCUGGGGAUGACAGGUCCUGGAGUCAGCCCAAAGCCUGGAGCGCCACAUGUUUCUCCCUCCUUUAAAAAUCUUUAUUUUUUCUCAAGCAGUGGGUUUUGACCCACAAAAGCUUGCAUUGAAGUACUGUAAACCUGUUAGUGUGCUGUUGUUUGUUGUUAUGUGACGGUCAAGUCCCUUUGGACAUACGUUGGCCUUACGAAGGAGCGCUCUCCGAAACAUCCCGUUCUCAACAGCCCUGCUCAGCAACUCUAAACUUAAACCUGUGGUUUCCUUUAGGGAAUCUAUCCAUCUCAUAUUGGGGUUUUCCUCUUUUCCUGCUGCCUUCCACCUUUCCCUAGCAUGAUUUUAUUUUCCAGGGAAUCCUGUUUUCUCAGGAAGUGCCCAAAGUAGAACGGACUCAGUUUCAACCUCUUUUUUUUUUUGCCUCCGAGAGAGUUCAGGCCUUAUUUUGAUCUAGAACCCACCUAUUUGUCUUUCUGGCAGUCCCGUGUUUAUCUGCAAAGCAUAUUUUGUCUCUCUCUUCCUCCAUUGUUUAUUUCUCUUUCCCCCUUUAAUUUUGCCCGGUUUGUUUCAGGAUUUCACUCCUGGCCCACAGAAAGGCUUUCGGUGACCUCCAGAGGGUGCAAUUCAUCCUCUGGCUGUUCUUCUGUGUUAGAUGCAGUCAGGGUUUGUCCCAAGAGGGUUCAAACUGUCAAAGGGACGGGAAAUAGAAAUUAAAAUUCUAAAAAGAUAAUUUUUUUUUCCAGAAUAAAGAGAGAGAGAGAAAGAAUUCA